UUUGACAUAUGUCUGACUUGACCACGUUGGGCAUUAUUUUGGUCCUAAGACAGCCCUGUGAGGUAGGUAGGCAAAGAUUAUUGUUGCUACUUUACAGGUAUGGAAACUGAGGGUCAGGAGGGUAAGUGACUUACACAAGGUCGCCAAGCUAAUGUGUGUCAAGGUGGUUCGCGGAGGUGAGGAAUGGAAGGGGGAUUUGUAAAGGGUCUCCUGAUUUUCAAGUGAAGGCUUUCUAGGGGGGUGCUCUUACUAUUUGGAGAAAUGACAUGUUAAUAAGAGAUAUCUGUGGGCAAAUACAUUUGAAAUAAGAAUAUGAUUCAUUUGCAAUCUUUCAAAAGAGGUUGUCAAAAUAAAUUCCAAGUCAACAUAUUUAAAAAUAUAUUUAUUGAGGUUUUCUAUGUGCCCGGUACUGGACCUGGUGAUCAUGCAUUUUCAGCAGACUUGCUGAAUGAACGCUACCCAGGAGCGACGCAAUGCCAUCACACAUCCUUCUUGGGAGCAACUCGAAAGCCUGCCUUUCGAGUUUACUUCUGUUACUCUCUCAGCUCAAGGCCUGAGUCAUUUCACUAAAUGAGUGUUCUGCCUUGGCCCUCUCCCAGUCAACAGCUGCAAGGUACCAGAUUGGCACGAAGCAGGGCCCUGUGCGAAGUGCUGGGGAAUGGGAGAUGAAUAAAGCAUGGCUUUUCUCCUUAAGGAUUGACUCCUCGUUAAGAAGACAUGAGUGGAAGGAACUUACAGUACCGUGGUUAGGCUUGUUUUUGUUCUUUGAGUCCUUGAUACUCAAAGGGCGCGAGGGAUCCCGUGAGAGUGAGUCCUUUGCAGUGGAGAGUGAAGAGAGCCCGACUGCUCAUUUGGAAGCUAAUUAACUGACAAGUCUUGGAGGAAAAGUUUGUUAUCACACUGAGAGCGCGGCUACCACCCAGGUCAAGAACUGGAAGCUGAGCAGCACCCAGAACUCUCCGACGUGCUCACUCCCAACAGUCCUCCUCCUCCUCCAAUGAAAACCCCCAUCUGACUUCUGACACCGUGGAUUUGUUUGGCCUGUUUUUUAACUUUAUCUAAAUGUAAUCGUACAGUAUGUGAGCUCUACCCUCUCAACUCCUGUCCCACGCUGAAGUGCUUAGCCUAAGACCACAAAAAGUGGAAGGGCAGUCUCAUUUUCUCUGACCACCCAAUAGAUGAGCAGCUAGGAGAGGAGGCGCGCUGGCUCGUGCCUUGCUUCUUUUAGGAAGAGGACAUUUGGGGUUCAGCAUUCUUUGCUCCCAAGUUUGAAUUAUGGUCCUUUAUGACUACUUGUAUUAGCUUCCUAUUGCUGCUGGAAUAAAAUACUGCAAAUUUAGUGUCUUA
Molecule: long non-coding RNA, 1347 nt
Filed under: Equus asinus (donkey)
Lineage: Eukaryota; Metazoa; Chordata; Mammalia; Perissodactyla; Equidae
Description: lncRNA (ENSEASG00005034741.1)
Source: RNAcentral